UACGGGGGGUGCGAGCGUUGUCCGGAAUCACUGGGCGUAAAGGGCGCGUAGGUGGUUUGAUAAGGGUGUGGUGAAAGCCCGGGGCUCAACCCCGGGUCUGCCGUGCCGACUGUUAAACUCGAGGGCUGUAGAGGCAGACGGAAUUCCGGGUGUAGCGGUGGAAUGCGUAGAGAUCCGGAGGAAGACCGGUGGCGAAGGUGGUCUGCUGGGCAGUUUCUGACACUGAUGCGCGACAGCGUGGGGAGCAAACAGG
This 253-nucleotide ribosomal RNA is filed under the name uncultured bacterium. Its description in RNAcentral is "partial 16S ribosomal RNA". It matches the Rfam family "Bacterial small subunit ribosomal RNA", at positions 524 to 776 of the family's 1533-position model. The record is from RNAcentral.